AUUGAACGCUGGCGGCAUGCCUUACACAUGCAAGUCGAACGGUAACAGGUCUUCGGAUGCUGACGAGUGGCGCACGGGUGAGUAAUACAUCGGAACGUGCCCGAUCGUGGGGGAUAACGGAGCGAAAGCUUUGCUAAUACCGCAUACGAUCUACGGAUGAAAGCAGGGGACCGCAAGGCCUUGCGCGGACGGAGCGGUCGAUGGCAGAUUAGGUAGUUGGUGGGAUAAAAGCUUACCAAGCCGACGAUCUGUAGCUGGUCUGAGAGGACGACCAGCCACACUGGGACUGAGACACGGCCCAGACUCCUACGGGAGGCAGCAGUGGGGAAUUUUGGACAAUGGGCGAAAGCCUGAUCCAGCCAUGCCGCGUGCAGGAUGAAGGCCUUCGGGUUGUAAACUGCUUUUGUACGGAACGAAAAGACUCUUUCUAAUAAAGAGGGUCCAUGACGGUACCGUAAGAAUAAGCACCGGCUAACUACGUG
RNAcentral lists this ribosomal RNA (482 nucleotides) under uncultured bacterium. Its description in RNAcentral is "partial 16S ribosomal RNA". It matches the Rfam family "Bacterial small subunit ribosomal RNA", at positions 30 to 507 of the family's 1533-position model. The record is from RNAcentral.